RNAcentral lists this transfer RNA (128 nucleotides) under Zymoseptoria tritici IPO323. RNAcentral's name for it is "Zymoseptoria tritici tRNA-Undet for anticodon ???". The record is from RNAcentral. Lineage: Eukaryota; Fungi; Ascomycota; Dothideomycetes; Mycosphaerellales; Mycosphaerellaceae.
GGGGAUGUGGUCUAAUGGUAAGAUUCUGUCUUCAGCGUACGGUGCCGAAUUCGGCAAGGAAGCCGGAAUCGGCAACUCCAACCCACUGCGCGGAUUCAGAGACGUCGGUUCGAUCCCGGACUUCUCCA